Long non-coding RNA from Xiphophorus couchianus (Monterrey platyfish), 1661 nucleotides. RefSeq lists it as uncharacterized. The record is from RefSeq and is a predicted model, not a curated record. The transcript has 3 exons. Lineage: Eukaryota; Metazoa; Chordata; Actinopteri; Cyprinodontiformes; Poeciliidae.
UCCAGACCCGGACGGUGCUGCCAUAUUUGUUGUUGUAGUAGUUGCAGGCUGUUCCAAUCCCGGUCCAAAUGAAUCUGCUAUAAGAAAGGAUUGGACCAAGUCCUGCACAGAAACAGGGACCUAAAGCAGAGAGAAGUUGUGGUGAUGAGCAGAAACAGCAGCAGCAGCAGAAGAAGAAGCACAACGGGGGUGACUCCACACAGACUGUAAACCUCCAUCGUUAAAAACCACACGGUCCAAUUCAUCAACCAAGGAGGCUUUUCAAGGGGAAAUGAAUUAGCUGGGUCAGACUGACCCUUGUCAAAGGAAACUGGGACUUGCCCAGAAAUUCAAGGAGGGAAGUAGACAAUUGAAAAUAUAUGUAUGCAUAGUAAGUAGAUCGACUCAUCUGUAUUGAAUUUCCCUUUGAACUACCGCUUUAUUUUCUGCAACAAACUUUAAAAGGAAUAGAGAACUUAUAAAAAGCUUGAGUUCAGAAAAGGUUGUCCUUCAGCUUUUCUACACCAGAAAUGCUCCUAAUUUGUCUCAUGCUAUUCAGCUCUGCUGUUCCCCAAUAAACCUGGUUUACUCUUUGCAGCUGAAACUAUUUAAUAUCUGGAAUUCAAGAGCUGCAGUGGUGUGAAAAAGUUUUUCCCCCAUAAAGAUUUCUUUUUUGUCACACCUAAGCAUUUCAUAUCAUUAAUCAAACUUUAUUAUCACACAAAGAGAACUUCAGUAAAUAGCCACUUUCAAAUGCAUAAAAGAAAACAAACCAUCCAAAUCAGCCUGACCCUGUUUGGAAAAGUAAUGCAUUCCCAGCAGCAACUCUCAUCAAGGCUUUGCAACAUCUGGCAGUUGUUUAAAUUCAACCACAUUCAUGCAUGAGCAGCUUGUUUAAGGCAAUGCAGCAGUAUUUCAAUUGGAUUAAAGCCAAUCGUUUGAGCAGGCCUCUACAAACCUUUUUCUUUUUUUAAACUUAGCCAUUUGGAGGUGAGCUGGUGUGAUCAUAGUCCUGCUACUCAUCUCAGGUUAUAAACCGAUGGUCAAACUUUCUCCUUCUGGAUUUAUAGAGAGAUGGAUUUAUGGUUCCAUAAUUUUGCAGCAAGCCGUCCAAAUGCUGAAAUAGCAAAGCACCUUGUGAGUAUCACACUGCCAUUUCUAUAAUGAUGUUCUUUUUCUAAAGUGCUGUGUUGGUUUGGAGCCAGACAUAAUAGGACACCCCUUUCAAAAAGUUCAUACAAUAUUUUCCCAAAAAUACUCGGGACAUUUAUGUUAUUUUUGCCUCGGGGCCAUUUUUGUUACCUCUAAACUAAGAACAGUGGCCUUCACUGAGGCAAUGAAGGUUUUCAGUGGUUUCCAUGUUGUUCUGAGUUUUUCACCUCCUGGAUGGGUUGCAGACGCUCUUGUGGAGCAAUUUUAUUACACUGCAACAACACAAUUUGUUGCACUAGUUUCUUGUGCAAAUAUCUUAGCACACUUGAAAUAAGACAAAAUUAACUUAACAGUAACUUUUCACUAAGAUAUAGAGGCUAAUUUCAAGUAAAUAAUUCCUAAAGAUUGAUGAAAAAGUACUAGUUUCAUUGGCAGAUUAUUUCACUUAUAACAAGACAUUUUUCCGAUGUUAUGGGUUAAUUUAUCUGCUAAGUACUUUUUUAAUCAAUAUUAAGAAAUUAUUUACUUAA